This 404-nucleotide ribosomal RNA is filed under the name uncultured bacterium. RNAcentral describes it as "bacterial SSU rRNA". It matches the Rfam family "Bacterial small subunit ribosomal RNA", at positions 355 to 775 of the family's 1533-position model. The record is from RNAcentral.
UGGGGAAUAUUGCACAAUGGGGGAAACCCUGAUGCAGCGACGCCGCGUGAGUGAAGAAGUAUUUCGGUAUGUAAAGCUCUAUCAGCAGGGAAGAAAACAGACGGUACCUGACUAAGAAGCCCCGGCUAACUACGUGCCAGCAGCCGCGGUAAUACGUAGGGGGCAAGCGUUAUCCGGAAUUACUGGGUGUAAAGGGUGCGUAGGUGGCAUGGUAAGUCAGAAGUGAAAGCCCGGGGCUUAACCCCGGGACUGCUUUUGAAACUGUCAUGCUGGAGUGCAGGAGAGGUAAGCGGAAUUCCUAGUGUAGCGGUGAAAUGCGUAGAUAUUAGGAGGAACACCAGUGGCGAAGGCGGCUUACUGGACUGUCACUGACACUGAUGCACGAAAGCGUGGGGAGCAAACAG